RNAcentral lists this ribosomal RNA (305 nucleotides) under uncultured bacterium. RNAcentral describes it as "bacterial SSU rRNA". It matches the Rfam family "Bacterial small subunit ribosomal RNA", at positions 334 to 657 of the family's 1533-position model. The record is from RNAcentral.
UACCCUACGGGAGGCAGCAGUGGGGAAUAUUGCACAAUGGGGGAAACCCUGAUGCAGCGACGCCGCGUGAGCGAUGAAGUAUUUCGGUAUGUAAAGCUCUAUCAGCAGGGAAGAAAAUGACGGUACCUGACUAAGAAGCCCCGGCUAACUACGUGCCAGCAGCCGCGGUAAUACGUAGGGGGCAAGCGUUAUCCGGAUUUACUGGGUGUAAAGGGAGCGUAGACGGCGAUGCAAGCCAGAUGUGAAAGCCCGGGGCUCAACCCCGGGACUGCAUUUGGAACUGUAGAGCUAGAGUGUCGGAGAGG